Molecule: long non-coding RNA, 1628 nt
Organism: Fukomys damarensis (Damara mole-rat)
Lineage: Eukaryota; Metazoa; Chordata; Mammalia; Rodentia; Bathyergidae
Source: Ensembl
CAGGCCAGAGGGGACUGACUGUCCAACCAAAGGGUGAAAGAGAGCGGGGAGACUCCAGCCCACGUCUGAGCUUGGGUUUCCUUUCCUGCAAGCUCAGGGAUAUCCUGACCCCAAAGAAGUCUGCAGUGUCUCACCAGCCUUCAGUAGUGCUACGCUUGCGUCUUCAUGAGGAGGGGAUACAGCGAAAGGGUGGGUAAGACAGUCAGGAUAAUAACAGUUGGGCGAAACUUCCAACAGGGACAGUAUGGAGUCAUGGUCAGAUCUGAAUUCAGUGCCCUGCAUUCAAAUCCUGCUCUCGCGCGUACUAGCAGAUGGCCAGGCUAAACCACUUCUCAUGGCUGAGCCACGGACCAAUGAGCUAAUUAGCACAAAGUGCUUAGAGUAUACAGCACAUAUUAAGCACUUCAUAAAUGGUUAUGAUCAUUUUCUCCUUUUGGAAAUUGUCCAGACACAAGGGGCCUAGCCUUCCAUUGACAGAGACCUUGAGGACUGGGGUGGGGGCAGAGCUUGACGAAGUGGGUAGUUGUGCAGGGCAAGGCAUUAGGGUCCCACCCGACCCCACAAGACCAUUCACUCAUCCAUAAUGCAAAGCGACAACCACAGGCUCAGUGUGCCACUAGCAAAUAGGAGAGAGCGCGAGCUGCCUCCAUUGAAAAUGCAUUGACUGAAUGAUUUAUAUUCCCCCAUCCUCCAAGUCUGAGCACAGGGGCAACUCCUGGAGCAUAUUAAGCGGCUGCUGUCUGUGAAGGAGCCAUAGCAGGAGGAGUGUGGAGCAGGUGCAGAGGGGAUCUGAGAGGAGGAAGGAGUGAACUUGGUCAGGAAGGAGGUAGGGAGACAUGGCAAGUGAGGAGGAAAGAGGAAGAUGCGAGGGGGAAGAGAGAGCAGGAAGUAGGAGGCACAGAGGUACAGCAAGGGAAAGGAGAUGGACGAGCGAAAAGGGAAGGAAAAGGAAAGGCAGAGGGCAAGGAGGGAAGAAUGGAGUCCAGGGCCAGAGACGCUGAAUUACAGCCUGGUUCAAGAUGGCGGUCAACACCCUUCUGCCCAGGAAUCAAGAAGUAUUUUUAAAUUCUCUCUCCGAGUGCAUACUGGGCAAGCCAAGAUGCAGACAGUUGACCAUGGUAACAAAUCAGUGCCUGGACUGGAUGGAUGUAGGUUGAAGAGGACUCACAACACCAAGAGAUGCAUUACUACAAGCCAUAAGCAGUGACAAACUGUGACCCCUCACAACAUCCCCCUAUGGGCGUGCCACGCUCUCUUGGUUUAAAGUCACUCCACAGUAAAUCAACUUACAAGCUCAGCGGGCUCCACAGCCAAAGCAGGAGGUAAGGACGACAUUCUGUUUCUAACAAAGCCAUUUUCAAUAAUGUAUAAUUAAUUAUAAUGUAGUUUUUACAAAAGGCCUUUUCCUCCCAUGCUAGUGGAAAGUUCUUCCUGACACCUCACGGAUCUCCAUCCUUCCCUCUGCAGUGGAUGAAUAAUUUUCCUGGCUUCUCUUUUCCCUGGGAAUGUAAGGUAUUGUGUUGCCAGUUUUAGAAAAGCGAAGGUAAUUAAAAGCACUUGAAGCCCUCUGCUGGGGCCCCUCCGCCCGCUCCUUGAUGCACCCCAGGGCAGACUGGGGAGAGAGUGGG